This 562-nucleotide ribosomal RNA is filed under the name Bacillus pumilus. RNAcentral describes it as "partial 16S ribosomal RNA". It matches the Rfam family "Bacterial small subunit ribosomal RNA", at positions 356 to 917 of the family's 1533-position model. Lineage: Bacteria; Bacillati; Bacillota; Bacilli; Caryophanales; Bacillaceae. The record is from RNAcentral.
GGGGGAUGAAGGGAGAACGUCUGACGGAGCAACGCCGCGUGAGUGAUGAAGGUUUUCGGAUCGUAAAACUCUGUUGUUAGGGAAGAACAAGUGCUAGAUGACUGCUUGCACCUUGACGGUACCUUACCAAAAAGCCACGGCUAACUACGUGCCAGCAGCCGCGGUAAUACGUAAGUGGCAAGCGUUGUCCGGAAUUAUUGGGCGUAAAGGGCUCGCAGGCGGUUUUUUAAGUCUGAUGUGAAAGCCCCCGGCUCAACCGGGGAGGGUCAUUGGAAACUGGGGAACUUGAGUGCAAAAAAAGAAAGUGGAAUUCCCAGUGUAACGGUGAAAUGCGUAAAAAUUUGGAGGAACACCAGUGGCGAAGGCGACUUUCUGGUCUGUAACUGACGCUGAAGAGCGAAAGCGUGGGGAGCGAACAGGAUUAAAUACCCUGGUAAUCCACGCCGUAAACGAUGAAUGCUAAGUGUUAAGGGGUUUCCCCCCCUUAAUGCUGCAGCUAACGCAUUAAGCACUCCCCCUGGGGAGUACGGUCCCAAGACUGAAACUCAAAGAAAUUGACGGG